This 1182-nucleotide long non-coding RNA is filed under the name Phasianus colchicus (ring-necked pheasant). RNAcentral's name for it is "lncRNA (ENSPCLG00000005255.1)". Lineage: Eukaryota; Metazoa; Chordata; Aves; Galliformes; Phasianidae. The record is from RNAcentral.
CCUGCAGGCAGUGUGCAUGUGAGCGUGUGUGAGUGUGCGUAUGGAUGCGCAUGCAUAUGUGCAUGUAUGUGUGCAUGUGUAUGUGCGUGCAUCUAUGUGCAUGUAUGUGUAUGCAUGUGUGUGCGUGGGCGUGCACAUAUGUGCAUGAAGUUGUAGUUGCACGCGUUUGCACAUGCGUGUGUGCACACAUGUAUGUGUGCGUGCAGAGGGGACGUGUCCUCCUUGAGGCAGUAGGGAGUCCUGGCCCCUUUGUAGUAUGGAGCAUGGUCUCCCCAUGUCCCUGCCCCCCCAGCCCCAGGCAGCCCUGCUCCCUGGCCUGGCUCUAGCUCCCCAUGCCAUGUUCCCAUCCCACAUCUGUGUCUCCAUGCCAUGUCCCAUGUCCAGAUCCCUGCUCUGACUUCAGGUCCCAGUGCCCUUGUCCCUGCUCUAUACCCCCAUACAUGUCCCAGCUUCAUGUCCCCAUGUCAUAUUCCUAUCUUAGUUCCACGUCCCCAUGCCACAUCCCAUCUCCAUGUCCCCCUGCCAUGUUCCUGUCCCAGCUCCAUGUCCUCAUGCCAUGUCCCAGCUCAACAUCUCCACGCCAUGUCCAAGCUUCACGUCCUCAUGUUGCACCACAGCUCCAUGUCUCCAAGCCACGUCCUGUUCCACAUCCUCAUGCCAUAUCUGAGCUCAACACCACCCAUGUUCCUGUCCCAACCUCACGCCCCCAUGCCCUUCUCCAACCUCACAUCCCCAUGCCAUAUUCCUGUUCUAGCUGCUCCACGUCCCCAUGUCACACCCCAGCUCCAUGUCCCCAUGCCGUGUCCCAGCUCAACAUCCCCAUGCCAUAUCCCAUCUCCAUGCCCCCACGUCCCGCCCCAUCUCCAUGUUCCCAACUCACAUCCCAGCAGCACGUCCCCACGCCACGUCUCAGCUCCAUUUUCACACCCCCACUCCACGUCCCUACCCCACAUCCCCACGCCUCGACCCCACGAAGGACCGGCACCAGAACCGCCGCGCUCGGCGACUCUCCCCACUCUGCCGGUCCCACGGGAGAUCCUCGAGGGGGGAGAAGCGAUGCCGUGCCCGAGUCCACCAGAGUGCACGCGUGGCCGCCUCUCGCGUGGGAGCCCCCGGCUGAGGUCUCAGCGUGCGCCCGCAUCCCCCCCGCCGCGCGUCCCCGCCGCGCGUCCCCGCGUCCCC